Molecule: transfer RNA, 66 nt
Filed under: Dermatobranchus otome
Lineage: Eukaryota; Metazoa; Mollusca; Gastropoda; Nudibranchia; Arminidae
Description: tRNA-Trp
Source: RNAcentral
GGAGCCAUAGGUUAAAUAAAGAAAACCUUGGGCCUUCAAAGCCUAGAAUGAGAGCGUCUGGCUUCG